UACAGAGGUCUCAAGCGUUGUUCGGGUUCAUUGGGCGUAAAGGGUGCGUAGGCGGCGCGGUAAGUCGGGUGUGAAAUCUCGGAGCUUAACUCCGAAACUGCAUUCGAUACUGCCGUGCUUGAGGACUGGAGAGGAGACUGGAAUUUACGGUGUAGCGGUGAAAUGCGUAGAUAUCGUAAGGAAGACCAGUGGCGAAGGCGGGUCUCUGGACAGUUCCUGACGCUGAGGCACGAAGGCCAGGGGAGCAAACGGG
RNAcentral lists this ribosomal RNA (253 nucleotides) under uncultured bacterium. RNAcentral's name for it is "partial 16S ribosomal RNA". It matches the Rfam family "Bacterial small subunit ribosomal RNA", at positions 524 to 776 of the family's 1533-position model. The record is from RNAcentral.